This is a long non-coding RNA of Triticum dicoccoides, 3938 nucleotides long. RefSeq lists it as uncharacterized. NCBI's taxonomy places the organism in Eukaryota, Viridiplantae, Streptophyta, Magnoliopsida, Poales, Poaceae. The record is from RefSeq and is a predicted model, not a curated record. The transcript has 10 exons.
CCGGCCACCCAUGCCGCCUAUGCGCGCCCCUCCCACACACUCCCGACCUACUCCCGGCGCACAUGCCACCACCCCUGCUCCUCCCUCCUCCAUGAGGGCGCGCCGCCGCCCUUGUUCUCCCUUCCCCCUGCUGGCAUGCGCACCGCCGCCCCUCUGGCCAUCGCCGGCAUCCCGCUCGAGCCCGUGGACCCGAGGAAGAUGGAGUCCAUGGAUGAUGGGAAGGAGCGGCGGCUGCCUCGUGGUGACCUCGAUGCUGCUACUGGUAUGUGUUGUGCAAUCUUCAGAUAUGAAAAAAAGAUAGUACAGAGAGGAGAGAGGAUUGCAGUUCAGACAGAUUGACUGGUAAGGUUCAGAGAUGUUGCUGAAUGGAAUACAUGACCGAAUGGAAUCUAUAAUUUGCAGCUAUAGCAUCCUAUAGUCCGGGAACCUAUAAUGUGCUCAAUAAAUCCAUGUUUAUACCUUCCAAGUUUCACUUGCAUGUUUCCCUUGUAUUUGAUGUUGUGGCUGGUAAGUGCUUGUCUCUUAUGGAGUAUAGGUUGCAGUGGAGUAAGUGAAAAGUGUGCAUGAUUGUAGGUUGAAACUUGCUAAUUAUGAUUGAGCAGAUGGAGCCUGAUGCCCGCGUCUAUACCUCCUAAGUCGGAGGCGGCGUACCAUGUGUCGACCGCCCUGAACCCUGGUCCUCAUGAUCACGUCAACCAACAGGGUCAACGACAAGGAUGCUUCUGAUGUAGUAGGACUAGAUGCGACACCUUUCCUGAAUUUUCUUAUGUAUGAUGCAUUUCAUAGUGUUUCUUCUAUCACGGUAACAAGAAUCUCUACCUACUUUAUUGGUGAAAUUGAGGUUGAAUACCAAUAUACGCACAUACAGCAGCAAUGGUUGAUGACAACAACAGCCUUGUAGCUUCAGGAGUGGAGCAUGAGGAGGGCUCUGUAUUGUGGCGGGGAAGGAGCAGAGGAAUUGUGCAUCCGGGAAUGGCACAAUAGCCAAUCCUAUUUAUUGCUCUACUGUCUGACAGGUGCCACAACGGCCUUGUAGCUUCAGGAGCGGAGCAUGGAGCAGGGCUCUGAGUCGUGGUGGGGCAUGUCGGAGGGCUCUGGGUUAUGGCAGGGAAGGAGCGGAGGAACUGUGCAUCCGGGGAUGGCGUGACCGCCGAUCAUAUCCGUCGCACUGGUGCUUGACAGGUCAAAUGAUCAGCAAGGCAUGUGACAGCAUCUUCAGGCCCAACUCUCACUCUGCUGUCUCCCAUUCAACGCACCCGUCGAUGCUAGGGGUGGAUGGUUCUUUGAUGUUGGCACAACUGGAGACAGCAAGAAGCAGAGGGAGGGAGGCUAUCAUGUUGAAGAAGACGCCGGCACCCUGACAGCGGAAAUGCGGUUUCCCGGAGCUAGCGGGAGGAGGCCGAUGGCUUCCUGUUGUAGUAACGCGAUGCUGAAGCAACAACGCACCAGCCUGCAAGGUGAUUAGCAGUCAGCAAACUAUUGGAAAGAUGAUGGUACCUCGUUUUUCUCAAGCUGUGAAGACAUGCACAAGAAUAGAUCCGUCGAUGAAGUAAACAACAUAUUUCAAGAUAUGAUGGUUGGUACUUCCAGGUUGGAGUGUAGCUUUCAGAUGAUUUUCUACCCUCGGGAUAUUUGAAGAUUGUUUGUUACCCAUCAAGUUCAGAAAAACCAAGGGUAUCAUAUGAAUUGGAUUACGUAGAAAACACAGAGAUAAAAGGGGUAUUUUAUCUACUAUCUCCACGAUGACACUGGUGGCCGUGCGCACGAUGAUGGCAUGGUGACGAUGAAUUGGGUUACGUAGAAGGUCGUCUUCCCGGCGCACCACGCGCUGGCCCCCGUCUCCAUCCGCGGCCGCACCAACAAGACAGUGUAGGGAAAAUGGAUAAAGUCUGCUAACUGGAACUGGAUAAUUGAUCCUUUAAAUGGAGAAAAAUCUCUCAAAGUUGCUGGGGGUUCAUGGAUCUAAAAUAAAGGUAUUUAUGUUUUGCGGUGUUUCUCUUUUGUAUUCCAUGUUACAACACUAUGCGUGUAAUUUAGUCAUAGUAUCUCAACUUUUCUCAGUUCAAAUACAAUAUUUUUUUUCCUUCGGAAAGAGCUCAAAAUACAAAGACUGACUUUUAUGCUAUUUCAUCACAGCCACUGACGAAGUUAAGUGCAGUGCAGGCAAAAUGGAUAUAGUCUGCCAAUUGGAACUGGAUAGUUGAUCCUUUAAAUGGCAAAAAAUUAAUCAAAGUUGCUAAGGUUCAGGGAUCUAAAAUAAAUGUAUUGAUGCUUUGUGGUGCUUCUCUUUUGAUUUCCAUGCUACAGCGCUAUGAGUAUAAUUUAGUCAUAGUAUCUAUCAACUUUUCUCAGUUCAAAUUCUUUUUCUUCCAAAAAGAGCUCAAAAUACAAAGAAUCAAUUUUCUUUGUUUAAACUUUACUGGUAUUGUCGUGUGUGUAUUAGAUCUGAAGUGUGUUCUCAAACAGUAUAAAGUAAUUUCAUGUUGCAACCAUUUGUAUUAAGCAUGGACUUCACAACCCACAUAGAGCUCCAGAGAGGUAUGUGUUGUUUUCUUGUACUAUGAAUUUAAGGCGGUUCUUGAGAGAAACAAGUUACCAUGGACCGGCGAGAUCAAGACAUGGCUCCGACAACAUCAACCCAAGCGGCGGCCGUGAUAGAGAGAGCGUUCGUGAGAGGGGAUGGAGUGGCGGCUGCACGUCUGUGUCGAGUCGACCAGUUGCAAGAGCGGAUGGGGCGGUGGCUGCGCAUAUGCGCUCGUGGAGGUGCCGGUAUGCACCCUGAUUUAUUUGAGCCUGGGAGGUGCCGGUAUGCACCCUGAUUUUUUUUGUAUGCAUAUCCCUGAAUUUUAUGUGUCGUGAUUUAAGUGUUGUUGUGUGUGUCAUUGUGUCCUAUAUAAUGAUUCUUAUUGACGCACCACUGCAACCCAGUUCGUUUAUCAAAUUGAUGCAAGAAACAAACUAAUACAUAGAGAGUACAAAUUUAUUACAAUAAUCUAUUAUGCCCUGCAGUACCUGUGCACCUUGCAAUAGGUAGAGAUGGAUAAAUUUUGUAGCUUUUUGUUCCCCUUCUUUUCCAUCGAAAUUAUGGAUUUGGAAGCUAUUCAUGCAGUGUUUCAAUUGCUUGCUAUAUUAUGGAUUUGCAAUGAGCACAAGCCUGCAACGUUGAAGGAAAAGCCGUUGUCGCUGAUGACAUGACACUGUGGCAUUGGCUGAGGUGAUGUCAUGUUGCGGCUGGAGCCAUCAUCGACCACGAUGUCGUGCUAGGAGAACAAGGGCAAAGGCGAGGACAUGUUGGUGUUGUUGGAAUAAGGUUUAUUGGGUCUUCCUCCUCCAGUAACAUAUUACACAAUGUAUUUAAGCUGAUUGAUUCUCUUUGGUAAAAAUGUCUCUCAUUUGCUUGAUGAAACUUUACCUUUGUAAAAUUAGCUGAGUUAUAUACAUCUAUGUGUGGUAUCUAUCUGGUUAUAUUAAACUGCAGUUCAUUCUUCUUGCUGGAAGGGGUGUCGUGAAAUAUGAUCUGGAUGCCAUUGAAGUUGUAUAUAUGUUGCUAUCCAUUGAUGGAGGGGCGAGCUGGGGCCGGUCCAGCAUUUGCACGUCAACAUUAUUAGAGCUACCAAAUAUGAUGUUUUGGAGAAUAUUUAUUUUGUGGUUCUGGGAAAGUUUGGAGACUGGCGUGUGAUAUUACUCAUAAAGCAAAGACACAAACAAUGUGGAAACAUACACUAUGGAUGACGUGCUUGCGGCCAUUGGGCUGUGGAAUCCAAGCACUUGUUCUUGCAUGUAUAUAUGGGUUGGGUUGUAGAAACCAUGGAGCUCAGUCUACUAUCUUUCCUUUCCAUGGAUACAUCCUGUUGUCUUGUAAAUCUUUCUCCGGGUAUUGAAAUUCAUAGUUGUUUCUAUGUAUCUUUCCUUGCCACUGGGAUUUAUAAGCUCACAAA